CCUACGGGCGGCAGCAGUGAGGAAUAUUGGUCAAUGGGCGCUAGCCUGAACCAGCCAAGUAGCGUGAAGGAUGACUGCCCUAUGGGUUGUAAACUUCUUUUAUAUGGGAAUAAAGUGCAGUAUGUAUACUGCUUUGCAUGUACCUUAUGAAUAAGGAUCGGCUAACUCCGUGCCAGCAGCCGCGGUAAUACGGAGGAUUCGAGCGUUAUCCGGAUUUAUUGGGUUUAAAGGGAGCGUAGGCGGGUUGUUAAGUCAGUUGUGAAAGUUUGCGGCUCAACCGUAAAAUUGCAGUUGAUACUGGCAGCCUUGAGUACAGUAGAGGUAGGCGGAAUUCGUGGUGUAGCGGUGAAAUGCUUAGAUAUCACGAAGAACUCCGAUUGCGAAGGCAGCCUGCUGGACUGUAACUGACGCUGAUGCUCGAAAGUGUGGGUAUCAAACAGGAUUAGAUACCCUAGUAGUC
RNAcentral lists this ribosomal RNA (460 nucleotides) under uncultured bacterium. RNAcentral's name for it is "partial 16S ribosomal RNA". It matches the Rfam family "Bacterial small subunit ribosomal RNA", at positions 338 to 795 of the family's 1533-position model. The record is from RNAcentral.